This 253-nucleotide ribosomal RNA is filed under the name uncultured bacterium. RNAcentral's name for it is "partial 16S ribosomal RNA". It matches the Rfam family "Bacterial small subunit ribosomal RNA", at positions 524 to 776 of the family's 1533-position model. The record is from RNAcentral.
UACAGAGGGGGCAAGCGUUGUUCGGAAUUACUGGGCGUAAAGGGCGCGUAGGCGGCCUGCUAAGUCGGACGUGAAAUCCCUGGGCUCAACCCAGGAACUGCGUCCGAUACUGGUUGGCUUGAAUCCGGGAGAGGGAUGCGGAAUUCCAGGUGUAGCGGUGAAAUGCGUAGAUAUCUGGAGGAACACCGGUGGCGAAGGCGGCAUCCUGGACCGGCAUUGACGCUGAGGCGCGAAAGCCAGGGGAGCAAACGGG